CGGGGCGUGGCUCAAUUGGUAGAGUGCCGGCUUUGGGAGCCGGAGGUUCCGAGUUCGAGUCUCGGCGCCCCGACCA
This 76-nucleotide transfer RNA is filed under the name candidate division WS2 bacterium ADurb.Bin280. RNAcentral's name for it is "tRNA-Pro". It matches the Rfam family "tRNA". Rfam says of the family: Transfer RNA (tRNA) molecules are approximately 80 nucleotides in length. Their secondary structure includes four short double-helical elements and three loops (D, anti-codon, and T loops). RNAcentral also lists the same sequence under 2 other names. The record is from RNAcentral.